Molecule: ribosomal RNA, 433 nt
Filed under: uncultured bacterium
Lineage: Bacteria
Description: partial 16S ribosomal RNA
Rfam family: Bacterial small subunit ribosomal RNA
Source: RNAcentral
AGCGAACGCUGGCGGCAGGCCUAACACAUGCAAGUCGAACGGAUCCUUCGGGAUUAGUGGCGGACGGGUGAGUAACACGUGGGAACGUGCCCUUUGGUUCGGAACAACUCAGGGAAACUUGAGCUAAUACCGGAUGUGCUCUCCGGUGGAAAGAUUUAUCGCCAUUGGAGCGGCCCGCGUCUGAUUAGUUAGUUGGCUAGGUAACGGCCCUCCAAGGCGGCGAUCAGUAGCUGGUCUGAGAGGAUGAUCACCCACACUGGCACUGAGACACAGCCCAGACUCCUACGGGAGGCGGCAGUGGGGAAUCUUGCGCAAUGGGCGAAGGCAUGACGGAGCCAGGCCGCGUAAAUGAUGAAGGUAUUGAGAUUGUAAAAUUCUUUCAGCGGGGACGAUAAUGACGGUACCCGAAGAAGAAGCCCCGGCUAUCUACGUG